RNAcentral lists this long non-coding RNA (792 nucleotides) under Prunus dulcis (almond). Its description in RNAcentral is "sRNA ncRNA". The record is from RNAcentral. Lineage: Eukaryota; Viridiplantae; Streptophyta; Magnoliopsida; Rosales; Rosaceae.
CUUCAGUCUCUAAUCAUAUUAGCACUGUUCUUCCGUGGCUAGUGCUGUUAGUCACCGUCUUUCAGUGCACAAAAACAUUAGAUUUACCCCCCAAUAACAAUUUAUUUCCCGGCCCUUCUCUCUUCAACCUUCCUCACUCAUCUUCACCAACCCAUCCUCUUCUCAGUCUUUGAAGACCCACCGACUUGUUAUUGCUUGAAGACCAUCUACUUCUCACUGCUUGAAGAGAGGAUUGAAAUCACGUUAUACAUACCACUAUAGAAUACAGAAUCAGUAUGUAAUUUCAAUGCUCAAUUUCAUCGUUACUUUUCAUUUGUGUGUGUGGCUUCUUUUUAAUUUUUGCAUUUGUGUAAAUUAUAGGUAUGAUGGCAUAUUUUGAUUUGAUUUAUCAAUGUCGAUGAAAAUAAUAGUUGAAUUCAGGCGUUGGGAUAUUGGGUUUUGAUUAUGUGUGGUUUGUUCAAUUAAAUUUGGUAAAUCAAACGAGAUUGAUUUUAGGUUUUCUAUUUUCAGUUUUUGUGUUUUGCUUUUGGGGCCUCUAUUUUUCGUAUUGUUAUAAUUAUUUAGGAAAAUUGAUUGAUUUAUUGUUUUGUUUCCAGAUUUGAGUUAUAGUAUCCCUCGGUUGAUGUUCUACACAUGGUUAUUAAACAAUUUCAAUUUUGUUUCCAUAUUUGAGUUAUAAUAUUUCUUGGUAAUAAAUCAGUAUUUCCUCUGAUUGUAAUUAUGGUCUGAACUGCUGCAUCAGACUCCCACAUCGACAUCGAAAAACUUGACAUGCAGCCGUAGUUCUGGGUG